AAGGGAUGUAGCGCAGCUUGGUAGCGCGUUUG
This 32-nucleotide transfer RNA is filed under the name Triticum timopheevii. RNAcentral describes it as "partial tRNA-Pro". The record is from RNAcentral. Lineage: Eukaryota; Viridiplantae; Streptophyta; Magnoliopsida; Poales; Poaceae.